RNAcentral lists this ribosomal RNA (460 nucleotides) under Hoylesella oralis. Its description in RNAcentral is "bacterial SSU rRNA". It matches the Rfam family "Bacterial small subunit ribosomal RNA", at positions 28 to 471 of the family's 1533-position model. The record is from RNAcentral. Lineage: Bacteria; Pseudomonadati; Bacteroidota; Bacteroidia; Bacteroidales; Prevotellaceae.
GAUGAACGCUAGCUACAGGCUUAACACAUGCAAGUCGCGGGGCAUCAUGGAGGUUGCUUGCAAUUUCUGAUGGCGACCGGCGCACGGGUGAGUAACGCGUAUCCAACCUUCCCAUUACUACGGCAUACCCCGUUGAAAGGCGGCCUAAUUCCGUAUGCAGUCCGAAGCAGUCAUCUAAUUUGGACGAAAGGUAUAUUCUAUCGGUAAUGGAUGGGGAUGCGUCCGAUUAGCCAGCCGGCGGGGUAACGGCCCACCGGGGCAUCGAUCGGUAGGGGUUCUGAGAGGAAGGUCCCCCACACUGGAACUGAGACACGGUCCAGACUCCUACGGGAGGCAGCAGUGAGGAAUAUUGGUCAAUGGGCGUAAGCCUGAACCAGCCAAGUAGCGUGCAGGAUGACGGCCCUAUGGGUUGUAAACUGCUUUUAUGCGGGGAUAAAAGUUGGGGAACGUGUUCCCUUUU